This 443-nucleotide ribosomal RNA is filed under the name uncultured bacterium. RNAcentral describes it as "partial 16S ribosomal RNA". It matches the Rfam family "Bacterial small subunit ribosomal RNA", at positions 338 to 795 of the family's 1533-position model. The record is from RNAcentral.
CCUACGGGAGGCAGCAGUGGGGAAUAUUGGGCAAUGGAGGCAACUCUGACCCAGCAACGCCGCGUGAAUGAUGAAGGUCUUCGGAUUGUAAAGUUCUGUGAUGGGGGAUGAACACAAUGACGGUACCCCAAUAGCAAGCCACGGCUAACUACGUGCCAGCAGCCGCGGUAAUACGUAGGUAGCAAGCGUUAUCCGGAAUGACUGGGCGUAAAGGGUGCGUAGGUGGUUUAGUAAGUUGGCGGUGUAAUUCCGGGGCUCAACCUCGGCGCUACCGCCAAAACUAUUAGACUAGAGUGCAGGAGGGGUAAGUGGAAUUCCUAGUGUAGCGGUGGAAUGCGUAGAUAUUGGGUAGAACACCAGUGGCGAAGGCGACUAUCUGGCUGUACAUUGACGCUGAGGCUCGAAAGCAUGGGGAUCAAACAGGAUUAGAUACCCUGGUAGUC